CUUACCCGAAACACACUGCAUGCUAAAGGACCUACAGAAAGCAUGCAUCCCGACCUUCUAACGCAUUUUACCAUGUCAUUCUGCCUGCUUACUUUUAAAAAGUAGCGUACUUUAUCAGAAAGUGAGGUUUACUGUAGAGAGGCUUGAGACAGAGAGUUGAGAUAUGAAGCACCCUGAGAGCCUGUGAUUCUUAAUAAUGAUUUAUAAUGUGUGGUAUCGGAGCCAGGGUUAUGAUUUGGAUUUAAAUCCGAGUUGAGUACAUUCUGUACCCAUUAACAGUUGAUAGCGCAUGCUUGUCUAGAUCUGAACCAGCUUUAAACUAUAGGCACCCCCGAAAGGUUCGGGUUCGUCAUCGUAAAGAUCACUUUUGGAAAUCGAUUAUGCGCCAAUAUUUACGGGCUCCUCGCCGGCGAUCAAUCCUAGACUCGGGGUCCCAUUUUGACCCCCGUUUGAAGUAGAAAUCUGACGCGUGACGCUCCGGGAUGAGCAGACUAUAUUAUAGUAACAUCACAUAGGCACGUUUUAGCGUGCGAAUGAUCAAACUAGAAGCAGACAAGAACACUGAGUAACAAACUGUAACAAACUGCCUCCUGUUGUGCUCUCUGAAUUGAUAACAACCAGUCAACCAGAGUGCAACAAUCACCAGCCUGUCUAUUAUCAACAGGACGUGGUGGAAGACCUGCUAUCCAGGGGCUCCCCCUCAUGCCACAGUGGCAAUUACACCUUCAGACAUGCAGCUUUUUUUCUUUUCUUUUUUUUCUUUUUUUUGACAGUACAGGCAGAGAUGAAUCUGAUUGGAUAAAGCCCGAAAACACCUACUGUCCAUUACGAGAUGGUUGCCAUGCGGUUUGGGCUUUUAUUUCAUUAAAGCCUCGGCUCUUUUUUCAUGGUGUAAAUGUACGAUGAACAUAGUUUAGCUUUGUAAAUAUUAUACAGAGGAAAUUGAGGUUUGAUGUCACAGUGACUAUAUUUCAGUAAUAAUAAAUGUGUUUCUCUUGCAGUGAUUUUAUUUGGUGGUUUUAAACACCUAGUUCUAAAGUUU
Carassius carassius (crucian carp) is the source of this 1042-nucleotide long non-coding RNA. RefSeq lists it as uncharacterized. Lineage: Eukaryota; Metazoa; Chordata; Actinopteri; Cypriniformes; Cyprinidae. The transcript has 3 exons. The record is from RefSeq and is a predicted model, not a curated record.